UUGAUUUAUUUGUUUGUUUCAUUCAGAAGUAACAGUUGAAUAUAAUGGUUUAGGCCCUCGACGGCGCCCGGUCGUGAGACCGAGGUCCGCCGAAGCAACGUAGGUAUGUUCACAGGGGUUUGGGAGUUGUAAACUCGAUAAUGAUCCCUCCGCUGGUUCACCAACGGAGA
Molecule: unclassified non-coding RNA, 170 nt
Filed under: uncultured fungus
Lineage: Eukaryota; Fungi
Description: sequence contains ITS1
Source: RNAcentral